Molecule: transfer RNA, 91 nt
Filed under: Methylobacterium radiotolerans
Lineage: Bacteria; Pseudomonadati; Pseudomonadota; Alphaproteobacteria; Hyphomicrobiales; Methylobacteriaceae
Description: tRNA-Arg
Source: RNAcentral
GGCUCGCCCGGGCCUUGGUCGCGGCGGUCGCGGCCUUGCGGCGGCCGGACGCGGGGGCGGCGGGCGCCUCCUCGGCGGGGGCGGCGGGCUU